AAAGUGAAAUUAGAGUUCGUCGGCGAUUAAAGGGGAAAAAAAGAGAACUCUCAAAUUAGGGUUUCCAUUUCAAUGUAUGAAUUUCAGCGUGAGGAGUUUUCAUUGAUACAAGAGGCCUCGAUUAUCUUCUUAAUGUCGUCGAAGGCUUUCACAAGCUCCAUUGGGACGCAGGUAUGCCGGGGUAAGUGGAAGCCGUACUGGAAACUGAAUGUGUAAAUCAUUUUCCAAGCUUUUUCUAACUCUGGAUUUCUCUUGAAGUUCGCGGAUUUGUUGAGGGAUUUUAAAUAGUGUAUAUUAGCCAUUGCCUUGAUCUGAAAUCUGUGUUGGGCGGAAAUUUUGCGUUAGUUCACUUAGAAAAUUAGUGCUCUGGUUGUAUGAACUUCUCUUGUGCCAAUGCUUUGAUUUAAUUUGAAGUAUAAGAUAAAUUUUUUGAGGCCUCUAUAUUUGGUUGUUCAUGAAAGAGGGUGAUGGCUGCAUUUGUAUGCGAAGAAAUCAGUAGUGUAUUGUGAGACAAGGGGCUGUUAGAGCAAUUUGUGCAUUAAAAUGGGACCUCAUAUAUUUAGAUCCAUUUCAAAAAGGUACCAUUAUCUCAAUAUGGUUGUUAGAUGUAAAACAACAUCUUCCCAAUAUGUUGCAUCAAGAGCUAGAGAUCCAACGUUUGAGAAACUGAUGGAUAGGUACAAAAAUCUUCUAAAAGUGGUUGCUGUCCAAGAUCUUAUCCUUGCUAAUCCGAGGAAUCAAUCGGUAUCUCUAGAAUUCCUCUCGAGGCUUUCCCAGAAGCUCCAUCUCAACCGUGGCGCUGCCUCCUUCCUUCGCAAAUACCCUCAUAUUUUUCACAUAUUCUAUGAUCCAAACAAGACUCAACCAUUUUGCAAAUUAACAGAUACUGCCAUCCAUAUAGUUUGUGAAGAAGCAGAUGCUAUCCAUGCUUCAUUGCCUCAGGUUGUUGACAGAUUAGUCCGGCUUUUAUCAAUGGCGAAUUCUAAGAUGUUACCACUGCGUGCAAUUUACAAGGUAUGGAGGGAGCUUGGCCUCCCUGACAAUUUUGAGGACUGCGUGAUAUCGAAAAACUCUCAUAUUUUUCAGCUUUGUGAUGCGUAUGAACCAAAUACUCAUUUUUUGAAGUUGGUUGAUGACAUUCCGAGAAAUCAUUUCCGAGCAGCUGUCGAUGAAUGGAGAGUUACUCAGUGUUGUAAAGAUGGAUAUUCUGUUGACGAGACAGAAAUCAAGUAUAGCUUUAAACAUAGCUAUCCUCCGGGGAUGCGGUUGAGAAAAACCUUCAAGGCCAAGGUUAAGGAAUGGCAAAGGUGUCCAUAUACCGGACCAUACGAGGGAACACUCGACAGUAACAAGUAUGGGAACACUGCUAUAGCACUGGAAAAACGAGCAGUUUCAAUUAUUCACGAAUUCAUGACUUUGACUGUGGAAAAGAUGGUGGAAGUAGAGAAGAUCAGCCAUUUUAGGAAAUGGUUUGGCAUUGAGUUAAAUGUAAGAGAUCUAUUCUUGGACCAUCCUGGGAUAUUUUAUUUAUCAACCAAGGGAAAGAGACAUACCGUCUUUCUAAGAGAAGCUUAUGAGAGGGGGUGUUUAAUAGAUCCAAAUCCAGUUUAUACUGUAAGGAGAAAACUCCUAGAUUUUGUUGAUAUGGGGCGUCGUGGUUUACCUCCUAGCAGCUUAAGACAGAAGGUAGAUCAAAUUCACAAUGAAGAUGGUGACUUUCCUUUAGGUAACAAAUGAACAAAGGACAAUAUUUAUAGUCUUUCAAUAAGUGUUUCAAAGCUCACUAAUGACUCUACAAUCGGUGAAAUCAUUGUUGGGCAGAAAUUUGUGAUACAUUGUGUAUCUGAAAACAAAAAGGAGAAUGCUUUAGUUUUUCAAUGGAGAUAUGUAAGUGCAGAAUGGUGGAGAGAUAGAACGCUUACAUUAUGGAAUUUGAAUGUAACGACCUAAGCCCACCGCUAGUAGAUAUUAAUUUCUUUGGGCUUUCCCUCAAGGUUUUUAAAAUGCGUAUGCUAGGGAGAGUUUCCACACUCUUAUCUAUGCUUCGUUUUCCUCCCCAACCGAUGUGGGAUCUCACCUUGAAUGUAUUGGAGUAGUUGGUCAUUAAUUUCUAAUAUGGAAACCCUUCAUGAAUAUAGAAUACUUGGAGAAUGGGUUGUUUGCUGCAUCUUCUUACAGAUAUGAACAUCGAAGGAUCAAAGUAUGAGAAGCGAGGGGAUUGAACCGCCCUGGCAACUUCUCUAGCAACUGGCGAGUAAUUCAGUUUUUAAUAUAGGUAAGCAUUAUUGGAGAAGUUGAACAACCUGAUUUGGAAGUCUGAACUGCGUUCUUUGUGAUCUGCUGGCAAUUAUGCUCUGAACAAAGCUUCAUUCACACAGAUGCGUCUUAUUCAAGUUUAAUAUGCCUCCUUAUACAUUUCCAUUGCAUCUUCAUUAUCUGCAUCAAUUUAUUGAACACUUUGACAUGUAGUCCGUUGAGUUUCCCUGCCAUUUCUUGGUUUCAAGUGAGAAGGCAGAGUCUGAACCAUUUGGACUACAGAUUUUUUGGUUGUACUAUAGAAGUUUGAAGGUUCAUGAUUUUAAAACGGUCUAUUCGGGAGAAGUUUCCACACCUUUAUAAAAAAUGUUUUGUUCCCUCUCCUACCGAUAUAUCAUCCUCACAAGAAAGAAGCAUUUUGUCUAGAGAUGAGAACUUUGAGGAUUGUUGAUCCAUUUCCCCAAUAUUUGUUCCAUGAGCAGUGGAUAAUAUGCAUACAAAAUGUCGAUGGCGUUGCUAUCGUCUCUACUUACCUGUACAAUACUACAUAUGAACUGAAAAGGAAAGACAGAAGAAUUGGCAAACAAUAACAGACAAUCAAAGAUAUCUCGGUUAGAGAAGCGUCGAAA
Cucurbita pepo subsp. pepo (vegetable marrow) is the source of this 2885-nucleotide non-coding RNA. The record is from RefSeq and is a predicted model, not a curated record. Lineage: Eukaryota; Viridiplantae; Streptophyta; Magnoliopsida; Cucurbitales; Cucurbitaceae.